UUACUUUUGAAUGGGAAACAGCUGGAAAUAACAGUCGAAAUUAAGCCAUUAUUAAAUGCAGUGGUCAGUUUCAAAUUGGUGAGAUAAAAUUUCCUUUUUCACUUUUCCUUUUCUUUUUAACAUUUUUUUUUCUUGUUUUAGCAAGGCAAGUGACUUCUGCUUUUAUGGUAUUAUGGUGUUUAAGUGAAAUUCUUAAAUGUGUUUUAUUUCUGAUCUAAGUCUUUUCUGCUGAGCAUGUUCUGCAAUAUUUAUGUGCUGGUUGUAAUUCUGCCAAUACAUCAGAGUUUUGAUUUUGAUAUAAGUAUUAGGUCAAUUUUUUUUUUUUAAUAUUGUUUUUUAAACUGAGUAGGACACAAAAUCUGCCUGACUUUUAUUGAACCCUCUACAUCAUAUAACUUGAUUCUAUGUUAACUCAGCUCUUUUCCAUAUCAGCUCAGGUGAUAAAGUGCAAGGAGUACAUGCAAAGAGACACAAAUUCAAGCUCUGGAGCUAGUUAAUUCAGUACCAGCUGAAGGACUGCAGCUUGAUCAUGCAUAAUGUCCAUGCAAACAUGUCAACGAUCUGCUAAAUGACUUCUGAAAUGAAAAUAGUGGUUCCCCAGUGCCACAGGCUGUUUGAAACAUUCUCAAGGUUUUUAUUUCCAAAUGACGCAUUAAACCCUAUAGAAUAUAUUUGCUGCUUGGUACCUCUUAUAGGCUUUGAAUUGACCUCUUGGAAUCUCAGUUUUGUGCUGUGUGAAAUACUAUUCCACAAAGGCUUCUUCAAUGUCAAAAACUAUAGCUGAGAGGACAUUCAAAAGCCAGUCCUGUUUGGAGCUGUGAGAAGUCAAUGGGAAGAACUGCAUGAACUUCACUGUGUUCAAUGUUGGUCACUUACAGAAGAGAAGAGCAGAGCAGUGUUUGAAAACCAAUCUGUAAGGUCUCUGAGGAGUCAUCUGCAAAUUUUUAUUUUAUUUUUUCUCAAAUUUGGAAGACACUGGACAUACAGUUGAAUAAAUAGAUACAUUAGC
This 1009-nucleotide long non-coding RNA is filed under the name Anas platyrhynchos platyrhynchos (common mallard). RNAcentral's name for it is "lncRNA (ENSAPLG00000022420.1)". Lineage: Eukaryota; Metazoa; Chordata; Aves; Anseriformes; Anatidae. The record is from RNAcentral.